Molecule: ribosomal RNA, 114 nt
Organism: Panthera pardus (leopard)
Lineage: Eukaryota; Metazoa; Chordata; Mammalia; Carnivora; Felidae
Source: Ensembl
GUCUACGGCCAUACCACCCUGAACGCGCCCGAUCUCGGCUGAUCUCAGAAGCUAAGCAGGGUCGGGCCUGGUUAGUACUUGGAUGGGAGACCAAAGGGGUCAGUUCUUUCAACC